UCUCAAUCGCAAUUCUUCAUAAGCAAAUAAUAAAAGCAAAGAAAAUAAAGAAGUAGCACCAAGCUUACCCCAGCUUACGACUCUCAUAGUCUCGCCCCAAUCUCCCUUUUUUCAACCUCUUUGUCCUACCAAAAGAUGGAUUGUUGUCGUAAUACGUGAAGUCUUGCUUGAGAAUGCUCCGAGCACCUGGCUGUGGAAGGAAGAAUGGAAAUUUUAAUAACAAAAUAAUAAUUCUAAUAGAAUACUAACAAUGCUCUAAUUAGACCAUAAUAAUGUUAAGCAAGCUUAAUCAAAUUCAAAAAAAACUCAAAGAAAUUUCAAACAAACAAUAAGAAUUAUUAAAAAAAUAUUAGAAGGACCACAAAUAUCACUCAAAUACAUCUCCAUUCAAUCUUAAUUUAAUUCUAGUUAAAAUCCUAGUGAACUUCAUUCAUACUUUAGGCCAAAAUUAACUAAAUCUUAAAUCCUAAUAAAAUCUUAAACCCUAAAUAAAACCCUAAACAAACCUUAAACCAAAUCUCAACCAAAUCCUAAAUCAAAUCCUAACCAAAUCCUAAACCAAAUCCUAAACCCUAAAUCAAACCCUACUCAAAUCCUAAUCCAAAUCCUAAACUCUAAACCAAAUCCUAAAUCCUAAAUUAAACCCUAAUCAAAUCCUAAAUCCUAAAUAAAAUCUUAACCAAAUCCUAAAUCUUAAAUCAAAUCCUAAUCCAAAUCCUAAAUCCUAAACCAAAUCCUAAUUCAAACCUUAAACCCUAAAUAAAAUCCUAACCAAAUCCUAA
This 782-nucleotide long non-coding RNA is filed under the name Physcomitrium patens. RNAcentral's name for it is "long non-coding RNA (PPAT_LNC007567)". The record is from RNAcentral. Lineage: Eukaryota; Viridiplantae; Streptophyta; Bryopsida; Funariales; Funariaceae.